CGCGGCCUAUCAGCUUGUUGGUGGGGUAACGGCCUACCAAGCCUAUGACGGGUAGCCGGCCUGAGAGGGUGUCCGGCCACAGUGGGACUGAGACACGGCCCACACCCCUACGGGGGGCAGCAGUGGGGAAUCGUGGGCAAUGGGCGAAAGCCUGACGCAGCAACGCCGCGUGGGGGAUGAAGGCUCUCGGGUUGUAAACCCCUUUCAGCAGGGACGAAUCAAGACGGUACCUGCAGAAGAAGCCCCGGCUAACUACGUGCCAGCAGCCGCGGUAACACGUAGGGGGCAAGCGUUGUCCGGAUUUAUUGGGCGUAAAGAGCUCGUAGGCGGCUGAGUAAGUCGGAUGUUAAAUCCCCAGGCUCAACCUGGGACACCACCCGAUACUACUCUGGCUAGAGUCCGGUAGGGGAGCAUGGAAUUCCUGGUGUAGCGGUGAAAUGCGCAGAUAUCAGGAGGAACACCAGCGGCGAAGGCGGUGCUCUGGGCCGGAACUGACGCUGAGGAGCGAAAGCGUGGGUAGCAAACAGGAUUAGAUACCCUGGUAGUCCACGCCGUAAACGUUGGGCACUAGGUGUGGGGUCUAUUCAACGGACUCCGUGCCGUAGCUAAUGCAUUAAGUGCCCCGCCUGGGGAGUACGG
RNAcentral lists this ribosomal RNA (639 nucleotides) under uncultured Actinomycetes bacterium. Its description in RNAcentral is "bacterial SSU rRNA". It matches the Rfam family "Bacterial small subunit ribosomal RNA", at positions 232 to 885 of the family's 1533-position model. The record is from RNAcentral. Lineage: Bacteria; Bacillati; Actinomycetota; Actinomycetes.